Molecule: ribosomal RNA, 270 nt
Filed under: Triticum aestivum (bread wheat)
Lineage: Eukaryota; Viridiplantae; Streptophyta; Magnoliopsida; Poales; Poaceae
Description: partial small subunit ribosomal RNA
Source: RNAcentral
AUGGCGCAGUCAAACUUUUCGCUAUAUGCUACAAACCUCACGGCCGGCCGCAUCCCUCCGAUAAUCUCCUGCCCGUCAAAGGUACCAUCACAUGAUCAGCAUUCUUGUACCAUGCAGGACGAAGCGCAAGAUGGCCUGGACGGAUCAUACAAGGAGUUGUACCUGAAAGAGAACCCCGGUGGCGACGCAGAGGGGCACAUGUUAGCGCUGAUCGAGAGGGAGUGCUCAACAGGGAGUGCUUCUCCAGGCGGGCAUUGCCGCCCAGCAUGA